GUGUCAAUGAUGAAAUAUUUGCCUUUUCUCUAGAGAGGUGUUGUCUUGAGAGUCUUGCACAAUAGAGUUACACUGAGGAC
This 80-nucleotide small nucleolar RNA is filed under the name Carlito syrichta (Philippine tarsier). RNAcentral's name for it is "Small nucleolar RNA SNORD115 (ENSTSYG00000028195.1)". It matches the Rfam family "Small nucleolar RNA SNORD115". From Rfam's summary of the family: HBII-52 is a member of the C/D class of snoRNAs, which contain the C (UGAUGA) and D (CUGA) box motifs. Lineage: Eukaryota; Metazoa; Chordata; Mammalia; Primates; Tarsiidae. The record is from Rfam by way of RNAcentral.